CCCUUAGAUGUUCUGGGUCGCACGCGCGCUACACUGACGGAGGCAGCGAGCGUGUCCUUCGCCGGCAGGUGCGGGCAAUCUUGCGAGUCUCCGUCGUGCUGGGGAUAGAUGGUUGCAAUUGUCGAUCUUGAACGAGGAAUUCCUAGUAAGCGCGAGUCAUCAGCUCGCGCUGAUUACGUCCCUGCCCUUUGUACACACCGCCCGUCGCUACUACAGAGUGCCCGUGUCCAAGAAACGGUCGGACCUGUGCGGCCUCUCCGGGCGACCGGAGGGCCGUUACGGGGAAGACCCUUUAUUUGACGCGGGUCGAUGAAGUAAAAGUCGUAACA
Molecule: ribosomal RNA, 329 nt
Filed under: uncultured eukaryote
Lineage: Eukaryota
Description: partial 18S ribosomal RNA
Rfam family: Eukaryotic small subunit ribosomal RNA
Source: RNAcentral